This 43-nucleotide ribosomal RNA is filed under the name Scleromitrion pinifolium. RNAcentral's name for it is "partial 28S ribosomal RNA". The record is from RNAcentral. Lineage: Eukaryota; Viridiplantae; Streptophyta; Magnoliopsida; Gentianales; Rubiaceae.
CGACCAUGACCCCAGGUCAGGCGGGACUACCCGCUGAGUUUAA